Molecule: ribosomal RNA, 414 nt
Filed under: Burkholderia cepacia
Lineage: Bacteria; Pseudomonadati; Pseudomonadota; Betaproteobacteria; Burkholderiales; Burkholderiaceae
Description: bacterial SSU rRNA
Rfam family: Bacterial small subunit ribosomal RNA
Source: RNAcentral
UGUGCCAGAAGCCGCGGUAAUACGUAGGGUGCAAGCGUUAAUCGGAAUUACUGGGCGUAAAGCGUGCGCAGGCGGUUUGUUAAGACGGAUGUGAAAUCCCCGGGCUCAACCUGGGAACUGCAUUCGUGACUGGCAAGCUAGAGUAUGGCAGAGGGGGGUAGAAUUCCACGUGUAGCAGUGAAAUGCGUAGAGAUGUGGAGGAAUACCGAUGGCGAAGGCAGCCCCCUGGGCCAAUACUGACGCUCAUGCACGAAAGCGUGGGGAGCAAACAGGAUUAGAUACCCUGGUAGUCCACGCCCUAAACGAUGUCAACUAGUUGUUGGGGAUUCAUUUCCUUAGUAACGAAGCUAACGCGUGAAGUUGACCGCCUGGGGAGUACGGUCGCAAGAUUAAAACUCAAAGAAAUUGACGGGA